CCUACGGGGGGCUGCAGUGGGGAAUUUUGGACAAUGGGGGCAACCCUGAUCCAGCAAUGCCGCGUGCAGGAAGAAGGCCUUCGGGUUGUAAACUGCUUUUGUCAGGGAAGAAAUCCUGUGGGUUAAUACCUCGUGGGGAUGACGGUACCUGAAGAAUAAGCACCGGCUAACUACGUGCCAGCAGCCGCGGUAAUACGUAGGGUGCGAGCGUUAAUCGGAAUUACUGGGCGUAAAGCGUGCGCAGGCGGUUUUGUAAGACAGAGGUGAAAUCCCCG
RNAcentral lists this ribosomal RNA (275 nucleotides) under uncultured Aquabacterium sp. Its description in RNAcentral is "partial 16S ribosomal RNA". It matches the Rfam family "Bacterial small subunit ribosomal RNA", at positions 338 to 605 of the family's 1533-position model. Lineage: Bacteria; Pseudomonadati; Pseudomonadota; Betaproteobacteria; Burkholderiales; Sphaerotilaceae. The record is from RNAcentral.